Molecule: small nuclear RNA, 107 nt
Filed under: Tursiops truncatus (common bottlenose dolphin)
Lineage: Eukaryota; Metazoa; Chordata; Mammalia; Artiodactyla; Delphinidae
Source: RNAcentral
GUGCUCACUUCAGCAGCACAUUUACUAAAAUUGGAAUGAUACAAAGAAGAUUAGCACGGUCCCUGCACAAGGAGGACAGGUAAAUUUGUGAAGCAUUACAUAUUUUU